GUUAAAGAUAACGCUGCACAGCAAAGUUUACAGCCUUCACUCCGGAUCAGCUUCUUCAGCCUAAAGAAGGACGGAGGACGAGAUGGACUCAUCGGCUGAGUGAGUCCAUUAACUGACUGACUCUAUCAAAUGAAAUUACGGCUGAAUCCUGGAGACGCAGAGCUGCAUAGUGCCAUGACUCUGUCAGGAAGUCCCAGGUGAUGAAAGCAGCCGGUGCUCCUGGUACCAGAGUUCAGUGAAGUCCUGCUGGGUUUCUGCUGUUUGUGGAGAGAAGAAAGCUCCGAUAACCUGGCAGGAAAAGACGCAGCUACCCUGAAGCCAGAGGAAAACACACUGCUGCCUCAGGACAUUACAUCAGAAUGAUGUUUUCUGUUAUCAGGAGAGUUUCUUUCAGUCCAGACGGACGAACCCUUUUCAUGUCGCUGAAUUCAGAAGAAAUAAUGGCAGCUGAUAAUGGACAUGCUAACCAAACUGACAGGCUAAUUUAUUUAAAUCUUCUUUCCAGCCAGAGAACAAUAAAAGCUUCAGUCAGUUUCAUCAUGUACCGACUCCAGGGGGUUUGGCCCAACCUGUGAUUGCUGCAUUUCACGGCCGUUCAGCACCAGGGGGCGACGCUCGGAGAGGACAGGUGGAGGGCCGUACGCCGCCUGCUUCACUCUCAGACACUGCAGUCAGGCUCCAGAGCGCUAAUCACUGAGCGUCUCCCUGAGAAUCCCGCAGCAGGAUUCUGCUGCUCCUCACGUUUGGACCAAAACCUUCCUGGUGGCUCUGUUGCUGCAGGAUGAGGGGAAAUGUGUGGAUCUGCAGCAGACCUGGCUGUAGCGCGCUAACAGAGUCUGACAUGUCCAGAGCUGCCACUCUGUUCUGAUCUUCAUCACAGCAGAAAUGCUUUAAUCUUUGACUUGUGAUAUUAAUGUGAAUUAUUAAUGCUUCCUCCUGUAGGUUGGUGCUCCCGCUUCCCUUCAGUCACCUGCAGCACAUCACUCAUUACCAUGGAAACGAAUAACAGCAUCAACUGGACCAGUUCUAGCAAAACCUCUUCCAACUUCCUACAGCUGUGCUGCA
Molecule: long non-coding RNA, 1065 nt
Organism: Gambusia affinis (western mosquitofish)
Lineage: Eukaryota; Metazoa; Chordata; Actinopteri; Cyprinodontiformes; Poeciliidae
Exons: 3
Source: RefSeq, a predicted model, not a curated record